RNAcentral lists this ribosomal RNA (492 nucleotides) under uncultured bacterium. RNAcentral describes it as "partial 16S ribosomal RNA". It matches the Rfam family "Bacterial small subunit ribosomal RNA", at positions 29 to 507 of the family's 1533-position model. The record is from RNAcentral.
AGUGAACGCUGGCGGUAGGCCUAACACAUGCAAGUCGAACGGCAGCACAGUAAGGGCUUGCUCUUACGGGUGGCGAGUGGCGGACGAGUGAGGAAUACAUCGGAAUCUACUUUUUCGUGGGGGAUAACGUAGGGAAACUUACGCUAAUACCGCAUACGACCUACGGGUGAAAGCAGGGGAUCUUCGGACCUUGCGCGAUUGAAUGAGCCGAUGUCGGAUUAGCUAGUUGGCGGGGUAAAGGCCCACCAAGGCGACGAUCCGUAGCUGGUCUGAGAGGAUGAUCAGCCACACUGGAACUGAGACACGGUCCAGACUCCUACGGGAGGCAGCAGUGGGGAAUAUUGGACAAUGGGCGCAAGCCUGAUCCAGCCAUACCGCGUGGGUGAAGAAGGCCUUCGGGUUGUAAAGCCCUUUUGUUGGGAAAGAAAAGCAGCAGGUUAAUACCCCGCUGUUCUGACGGUACCCAAAGAAUAAGCACCGGCUAACUUCGUG